This 1053-nucleotide ribosomal RNA is filed under the name human gut metagenome. RNAcentral's name for it is "bacterial LSU rRNA". It matches the Rfam family "Bacterial large subunit ribosomal RNA", at positions 1411 to 2461 of the family's 2925-position model. The record is from RNAcentral.
GUAGCUGAUGGGAAGCUGGUUAAUAUUCCAGCACCGAUUUCAAGUGCGAAGGGGGGACGGAGUCCUGAAGGUCAUCCGGGUGUUGGACAUCCCGGUUUACGAGCGUAGGAGGUUGACAGGCAAAUCCGUCAACGAAUCUCCAAGGCGAAGGAUCGAGGUUGAGAGAUCAACUGAAGUGACUGAAUGGGCUUCCAGGAAAAGCCUCUAAGCAUCAGCUUGGAAUUGACCGUACCGCAAACCGACACAGGUGGGCGAGCUGAAUAUGCUCAGGCGCUUGAGAGAACUCAGGAGAAGGAACUCGGCAAAUUGACACCGUAACUUCGGGAUAAGGUGUGCCUUUGUAGUGUGAAGGGAGAAACACCCCGAGCAUGAAGAGGCCUCAGAGAAUCGGUGGCUGCAACUGUUUACUAAAAACACAGCACUCUGCAAAGAUGAAAGUCGACGUAUAGGGUGUGAUGCCUGCCCGGUGCUGGAAGAUUAAUUGAUGGGGUGCAAGCUCCUGAUCGAAGCCCCAGUAAACGGCGGCCGUAACUAUAACGGUCCUAAGGUAGCGAAAUUCCUUGUCGGGUAAGUUCCGACCUGCACGAAUGGCAUAAUGAUGGCCACACUGUCUCCUCCGUGAGCUCAGUGAAGUUGAAAUGUUUGUGAUGAUGCAAUCUCCCCGCGGCUAGACGGAAAGACCCCAUGAACCUUUACUGCAGCUUUGCAUUGGACUUUGAACCGAUCUGUGUAGGAUAGGUGGGAGGCAGUGAAGCUAGGACGCCAGUCUUAGCGGAGCCAACCUUGAAAUACCACCCUGAUUUGUUUGAGGUUCUAACCUAGGAGCGUAAUCCGCUUCGGGGACCGUGCAUGGCAGGCAGUUUGACUGGGGCGGUCUCCUCCUAAAGGGUAACGGAGGAGUGCGAAGGUACGCUAGGUACGGUCGGAAAUCGUGCUGAUAGUGCAAUGGCAAAAGCGUGCUUGACUGCGAGACCGACAAGUCGAGCAGAUACGAAAGUAGGUCAUAGUGAUCCGGUGGCUCUGCAUGGAAGGGCCAUCGCUCAACGGAUAAAA